Molecule: ribosomal RNA, 253 nt
Filed under: uncultured bacterium
Lineage: Bacteria
Description: partial 16S ribosomal RNA
Rfam family: Bacterial small subunit ribosomal RNA
Source: RNAcentral
UACGUAGGGUGCAAGCGUUGUCCGGAAUUAUUGGGCGUAAAGAGCUCGUAGGCGGUUUGUCGCGUCGGCUGUGAAAUCCCGGAGCUCAACUCCGGGCCUGCAGUCGAUACGGGCAGACUUGAGUGUUGCAGGGGAGACUGGAAUUCCUGGUGUAGCGGUGAAAUGCACAGAUAUCAGGAGGAACACCGGUGGCGAAGGCGGGUCUCUGGACAGUUCCUGACACUGAGACACGAAGGCCAGGGGAGCAAACGGG